This 1489-nucleotide ribosomal RNA is filed under the name Pristiophorus nudipinnis. RNAcentral describes it as "partial 16S ribosomal RNA". It matches the Rfam family "Bacterial large subunit ribosomal RNA", at positions 424 to 2590 of the family's 2925-position model. Lineage: Eukaryota; Metazoa; Chordata; Chondrichthyes; Pristiophoridae. The record is from RNAcentral.
ACCUUAAAGCUAGCCUGAACAACUACUAAACACAACAUCAUUAACUACAUCUACACUUCUAUUAUUAAAUUAAAUCAUUUUAUACCUUCUAGUAUGGGUGACAGAACAAAGACCUCAGCGCAAUAGACUAUGUACCGCAAGGGAAAGCUGAAAAAGAAAUGAAAUAAAUAAUUAAAGUACUGAAAAGCAGAGAUUAACACUCGUACCUUUCGCAUCAUGAUUUAGCUAGACUAACUGGGCAAAGAGAUCUUAAGUCCACCAUCCCGAAACUAAACGAGCUACUCCGGAGCAGUACACUAGAACCAACCCGUCUCUGUAGCAAAAGAGUGGGAAGACUUCCUGAGUAGCGGUGACAAACCUAUCGAGUUUAGUGAUAGCUGGUUACCCAAGAAAAGAACUUAAAUUCUGCAUUAAUUUAUCUUCUCGCCAACUAAGAACAUCUUCUUAAGGUGAAAAAUAAGAAUUAAUAGUUAUUUAGAAGAGGUACAGCCCUUCUAAAUUAAGACACAACUUUUAAAGGCGGGUAAUGAUCAUAUUUAUUAAAGUUUUUUCCUCAGUGGGCCUAAAAGCAGCCACCUGUUAAGUAAGCGUCACAGCUCCAGCUUCCCCUAAACUUAUAAUUUAGAUAUCACCUCAAAACCCCCUUACCUGUAUUGGGUUAUUUUAUAAACAUAAAAGAACUAAUGCUAAAAUGAGUAAUAAGAGGCUAAACCUCUCCACGACACAAGUGUACAUCAGAAAGAAUUAAAUCACUGAUAAUUAAACGGACCCGAACUGAGGGUAUAAUACUAAUACAACACAAACUAGAAAAUUUUAUUUUAUCACCCGUUAACCCCACACAGGAGUGUCCUAAGGAAAGAUUUAAAGAAAAUAAAGGAACUCGGCNAACAUAAACUCCGCCUGUUUNCCAAAAACAUCGCCUCUUGCUUUACUCCCAUAAGAGGUCCCGCCUGCCCUGUGACAAUGUUUAACGGCCGCGGUAUUUUGACCGUGCGAAGGUAGCAUAAUCACUUGUCUUUUAAAUGAAGACCUGUAUGAAAGGCAUCACGAGAGUCUAACUGUCUCUAUUUUCUAAUCAAUGAAAUUNNUCUUCUCGUGCAGAAGCGAGAAUACCACNAUAAGACGAGAAGACCCUANGGAGCUUUAAACGCUUAAAUCCAACUAUGUACAUCUACANCAUCNAAAGGUACAACUACCAAUACAAUAUUCCUGAUUUAACUGUUUUUGGUUGGGGUGACCAAGGGGAAAAGAAAAUCCCCCUUAUCGACUGAGUACUCAGUNCUUAAAAACUAGAGCAACAGCUCUAAUUGAUAGAACAUCUAUCGAAAAAUGACCCAGAAUUUUCUGAUCAAUGAACCAAGUUACCCUAGGGAUAACAGCGCAAUCCUUUCCCAGAGUCCCUAUCGCCGAAAGGGUUUACGACCUCGAUGUUGGAUCAGGACAUCCUAAUGGUGCAACCGCUAUUAAGGGUUCGUUUGUUCAACGAUUA